Long non-coding RNA from Perca flavescens (yellow perch), 215 nucleotides. RefSeq lists it as uncharacterized. The record is from RefSeq and is a predicted model, not a curated record. The transcript is spliced from 3 exons. Lineage: Eukaryota; Metazoa; Chordata; Actinopteri; Perciformes; Percidae.
GUGGAGCUCCAGCUGGAGCUACCAGAAGACUUCUGAAAACUUUGUUUUGGAAGAAACAAAGCUCUUAUUGUGAAAGUCUGCUUCCUGACAGGUGGAGCUGUGACGCAUCAGGAAACAACUCAUGUGAGUCAUGUGAGUUGUUUCCUGUCGACAUUUUGGACUGUUUGAAGAAACUGACCCAUCAGAGACCAGACCCUGCUGGACCUGAACCUGAA